Molecule: non-coding RNA, 102 nt
Organism: Pelobates cultripes (western spadefoot toad)
Lineage: Eukaryota; Metazoa; Chordata; Amphibia; Anura; Pelobatidae
Source: the annotation of a GenBank genome assembly
UGGCACCCCAGAUGUUGUGAACUACAUCUCCCUUGAUGCUGUGCCAGCAUUAUGGCUGUAAAAGUGUUAUGGGAGAUGAAGUCCAAAACAUCUGGGGUGCCG